GAUGAACGCUAGCUACAGGCUUAACACAUGCGAGUCGAGGGGAAACGACAUCGAAAGCUUGCUUUUGAUGGGCGUCGACCGGCGCACGGGUGAGUAACGCGUAUCCAACCUGCCCAUCACUUGGGGAUAACCUUGCGAAAGUAAGACUAAUACCCAAUGAUAUCUCUAGAAGACAUCUGAAAGAGAUUAAAGAUUUAUCGGUGAUGGAUGGGGAUGCGUCUGAUUAGCUUGUUGGCGGGGUAACGGCCCACCAAGGCAACGAUCAGUAGGGGUUCUGAGAGGAAGGUCCCCCACAUUGGAACUGAGACACGGUCCAAACUCCUACGGGAGGCAGCAGUGAGGAAUAUUGGUCAAUGGGCGAGAGCCUGAACCAGCCAAGUAGCGUGCAGGAAGACGGCCCUAUGGGUUGUAAACUGCUUUUAUAAGGGAAGAAAGUGAGAGUCGUGACUCUUUUUGUAUGUACCUUAUGAAUAAGGACCGGCUAAUUCCGUG
This 492-nucleotide ribosomal RNA is filed under the name uncultured bacterium. RNAcentral describes it as "partial 16S ribosomal RNA". It matches the Rfam family "Bacterial small subunit ribosomal RNA", at positions 28 to 507 of the family's 1533-position model. The record is from RNAcentral.